RNAcentral lists this ribosomal RNA (467 nucleotides) under uncultured bacterium. RNAcentral describes it as "partial 16S ribosomal RNA". It matches the Rfam family "Bacterial small subunit ribosomal RNA", at positions 29 to 507 of the family's 1533-position model. The record is from RNAcentral.
ACGAACGCUGGCGGCGUGCUUAACACAUGCAAGUCGAACGGAAAGGCCCUGCUUUUGUGGGGUGCUCGAGUGGCGAACGGGUGAGUAACACGUGAGUAACCUGCCCUUGACUUUGGGAUAACUUCAGGAAACUGGGGCUAAUACCGGAUAGGAGCUCCUGCUGAAUGGUGGGGGUUGGAAAGUUUCGGCGGUUGGGGAUGGACUCGCGGCUUAUCAGCUUGUUGGUGGGGUAGUGGCUUACCAAGGCUUUGACGGGUAGCCGGCCUGAGAGGGUGACCGGCCACAUUGGGACUGAGAUACGGCCCAGACUCCUACGGGAGGCAGCAGUGGGGAAUAUUGCACAAUGGGCGGAAGCCUGAUGCAGCAACGCCGCGUGCGGGAUGACGGCCUUCGGGUUGUAAACCGCUUUCGCCUGUGACGAAGCGUGAGUGACGGUAAUGGGUAAAGAAGCACCGGCUAACUACGUG